Non-coding RNA from Phascolarctos cinereus (koala), 2728 nucleotides. The record is from RefSeq and is a predicted model, not a curated record. Lineage: Eukaryota; Metazoa; Chordata; Mammalia; Diprotodontia; Phascolarctidae.
CUUGUUUUGUGGGCUCCAGUCCGACAGUCCACAUUCCUCUGCUGGACUCCUCGGCCACAAGACACGGAGCACUGAGGAGACAGACAGAGUGAUCUAAGCUAUUUGGGCGACGGGAAGAACAUGAAGGAUAAGCCAGAAUUAUAGUGGGACAAUUGGUCAAACAGCACCUGAAGCAUGAGCCUGGGUGCCACCUGCAUGGGUGGAAAGAGCAUUGGAAUUCUUUAAGUACAAGGUACUACGGACAAUGGUUUCCCAUUCCAAUUCACUGCCUUUCCUUUGAAGUCUACAUAAACAGAAGGCCACCUAACUAAAGACGACGACUCGCCGCUGAAAUCCACCAGCACAUGUACUAGAGCACUGAACAAAUCAGUUCAAGAAAUUAAUCCAAGUCCCUGGCUACCAAGAAGAGCUAACUUCAGGUGAUGGACUGAUGGGAUGAAGAGAAUCUUGAAAACUGACAAAAUGAGAGAAGCCAUCAUUGAGAAAACCACUGGAGUCUACAUACUGUUGAGUAACUAUAAGCACCCUGAGGGCGAGAGGCAUGUUUUAUACUUUUUCUAAACAUUUAGGCAAUUCAAAUGUACAGGCAUUCAAAAAAAAAUUGUGUGACUAUAAAUGAAAAGAUUAACAGCUAAUUCCAAUAACUGAAAAACCAAUAAGGAUCCUGGAAAAAUAGGAAGUGAAACUAGCAUUUGGUCACUUACUACCUGAGUCAUCUUAACUGCUCUGGGUCUCAGUUUCCUUAUCUGUAAAAUGAACCAGAGGUUCUCUGAGGUCCCUUCCAGCUAAUAUUUUGGAUCUUAUGGAAAAGUCAGUUAGUAUUUGAAUAAAGAGUAAUAACUAAAGCAAGCAUUCUUUGGGAGUACUUUAAGUCCAUAAGUAAAGAGACUGAUUCCAAUGCUAUUAAGGCUUGUUUCUUCAAAAGCUAACAACUCAUCUAAUCAUUAAAACACUUCUUCCUAAAACACAAUGCCCUGCACUAACCAUGGCAGCCAGACUAUCCCCUCCUAAUCUUGGGCACACGGUGAGAUGUAGUCAAUGGAGCUGGUGAACUGCAUUUGCUUACUUGCUUUUCUUUACUACAUGAGAGGAAUCAGAUUGUGUGUGUGUGUGUGUGUGUGUGUGUGUGUAUGGGGGUGUGUAGUGCAGACAGAAGCAUCUAUCCAAGAACGACUAUGAUUAAAAAAAAGGCAUUUUUUUAAAAAGGGGAGGAGGGAGAGAAAACUUUUUUUCCCCCUUUCCAAAACACAAUCACAUUUAUUGUCUCAUGUCAUCUUCACAGCAUCUUUCUGAAAGGUCAAGGGGGUGAGAUUUAAAAAAAAAGAUUUUGUCAUUCAAAACUCCAAGUGCUUAUAUUGACUCUGCUCUCUGCUCCAAGCUGGGAUUCCUUUACAACCAAUGGGCCAAAUCCUGCACUUGGUGAAUAUCUAGUGGCUGAAAUGAAGCUUUCAUGUCAAGUUACUUAAGUAUGGAAAGAAAGGGCUGUUGUUCACAAUGAUCACAUUACAACACCCAGAGGUUCUGGCUUUAAAGUUGGAGGAUCUGGCCUCCAGUCCUCACCCAGCCACUUAUCAUUGUGCAACCUUGGGCAAGUCAGUUAAUAUCAUUGCGACUUGACCUUUCCCUCUGUAAAAAGGGGGCUGGAUGAGAUGACCUCUAAGGUCCCUUCUAGGUUUGAAUCAAAGCAAGGAAGCUUUAGUAUAAUGCCUGUGACUACCUAUUUUUUUUUCCAACCCUUUCCCAGUGUUCCAUAGUAGUAGCUCAUUGCAUUUUCACUUCUCCAAAUAUGUUAUGGUCAAAUCCAUAUGGUCAGAUCUCCUUCCAGAAACAUGUUGAUCCUCAUUAUUUCCUAUCACACUUUCAUAGACCCAACAAUGCACUACAGUAACUUCCCAUUCUGUCUCAUUUUAUCUGCAUCUCAGGAGUAUGUUCUCCUUUGCAUAAUUUCCUUAUCUUUCUAAACUCUCUGUGUGUUUGCUAGCUCCCCCUGUUCAAACUAGUCUGAUUCACCUAUAAAGGAACCAUCUGUUACAAAAGCAACCCAGUUCCCGAGAUCCUACAAGCCUUGAGAGGAAUCAGUAACAAUUUCGAGGUCUUUGUUCAGAUAUUGAAUUUUCGAGCCUUAUCUAACCCCACACAAAUGCUAUUAUUUUGAAACAGCAAAUAUCAUUACUUCUCCAGCUUCAUCUUACACCAAUGUAUUUUUUCCCUGCCUUGGUCCUCUUGCCCACUGCCAUUAGCUGCUGUUGGGAAUUACGGUCCUUGCCCUCUCUGGUCAAACAGGGGUUGUUUUUGUUUUGAAAUUGUUAUCUCCAACACCAGUUCACAUGUGCAGUAGAUUAUUAUUUUUCUCUGGGGAAUCAAUCUGAUGUAAAUAAAUGUGUUUGUGUGUGUGUUUGUACUGUUCAGUUCACAUGAACCCCAUGCUAUAUCCCCAAAGACUGCUGGUCUAUAUGCUAUAGAUGGCCUUCAAAAUACUGGGGUUUGUGAUUUUUUCAGAUGCCUCUCCCAUAUUGGCCAGUUCUAGAAACAAAUGAAAUUAACUCUGUCAUUGGAUAUGGAAAAGAUGGGCCAUGCUGGGGCUCUUCUGGCCAUGCCAUGUCAUGCAACUUUACAAACCAAACCACCAUUCCUUGUCCACCACUUCCUAUACGUCUUGGAAUGUCCCCCAUUAGAAUGCAAAUCCUUGAGGGAAAUGAUCUUUGAAUUUGAUCAUUGUGUCCCCAGU